Non-coding RNA from Pelobates cultripes (western spadefoot toad), 275 nucleotides. NCBI's taxonomy places the organism in Eukaryota, Metazoa, Chordata, Amphibia, Anura, Pelobatidae. The record is from the annotation of a GenBank genome assembly.
UAUACACUACAUCAAGAUCCCACCCCAAACUAUGUACACCUACACACACUAUAUCUCUAUCCCACCCACACUAUGUUCUCCUACACACACUAUAUCUCUAUCCCACCCACACUAUGUUCUCCUACACACACUAUAUCUCUAUCCCACCCACACUAUGUUCUCCUACACACACUAUAUCUCUAUCCCAUCCCACACUAUGUUCUCCUACACACACUAUAUCUCUAUCCCAUCCCACACUAUGUUCUCCUACACGUACUAUUUCCCUAUCCCACCCC